Onychostoma macrolepis is the source of this 1201-nucleotide long non-coding RNA. RefSeq lists it as uncharacterized. The record is from RefSeq and is a predicted model, not a curated record. The transcript is spliced from 3 exons. NCBI's taxonomy places the organism in Eukaryota, Metazoa, Chordata, Actinopteri, Cypriniformes, Cyprinidae.
UUAUUUUACAUUUAUUUUAGUAGUAUAAUAUGUUAUUUAUUGAAUGCAUUUUUUUAAAUAUACCGUAUAUAUUUAUUAAGUGUUUAUUAUUAUUUAACAACAAACUUUAUUUUCAUUUAUUUUAUUUAUUUAUUUUUUAUUUGGAAACUUAAAUUCUUGGAGGGAUAACUAAAUAUUUUAUAAAUGUUGAUAAUUAAUGACUGAAAUUUAUGUGUGACCCAACACGGAUAUGGCUGCCCAGCAAACACAGAACGUUGUGACGACGUCGCCAGUUCGUCGUCCUUUGGUCAGCGCGACAUUACUUUAUGGCGACGUUGUGAGGACGUCGUGGUAAAGUUCCAUUUUUUAGAAUCUUGGCUAACGUUCCAGAAACGUCGUGGGCACAUCCUCAAAAGACGUCGCUUGUUAGUCCCGUGAAGAACGUUGUAGCGACGUGGUCAGCUGGUCUCAUGAUAACUUUUCAUAUUAUUGCACUACAUGUAUUAUUAUGUUAAGAUACCAUUUGGAUAGCCUAUAUUUUGGAAAAUUUUAAAAGAUGGCAUGAAUUAUUAUAUUUGUAGGUACGUAUGUGUCAUCAAAUUAAGGACAAAACAAAACCAAAUAGCUUGCUUAGCAAAUGGUGAUCAUUGUUAAUUACAUGUUUGUGAAUGACUGAGAAUGAGGUUUAUUGAAAGAGGGCUCGGGACAAAUUAACAUUUAAACCAGCAGCGCGCGGCGCGUCACUGUCUGUACUGCUGCGCGAGAGUGCGCGUGCCCGUCAUUAACGGUCAACUUCCAGCAGACGGACACGGAGGAAAAGGUCCUGACUGCCACCAGUCGAGUCAAUGAUUCAGUGGAGAGACAAUCUGGGCAGCAGCAACAAGACAACUAUUACAGUAGAGAUGGGUUUCAAGAUCCAGGUGCAAGGUGCAAUAAGAUGCAAGGAUCCAGGAUCAAGAGAUCAUUCAUCAUGAAGACUGUUCAAUAGGAAGCAGCGAAUCCUGGGUGAAAAACUAAACCUGGUUGUUUCAGCAUCACUCAGGCAAGGCAAAAUACAUUUAAAUUGAUUUCAGUAGGUUAUAUGUUUCAGAUCAUCCUGACCAUUCUGUUGUCCUGGAUUUGAAGACAUGCUGGAACUGUAUUUCUCGUGGCUGAAAGAUUUGUGCAGCGGUAUCCAGACAUAUAAGCACCCUUCCUGGACCCACACGACUAAAGGCUCUGG